AGGCGGCUUUUUAAGUCGGAUGUGAAAUCCCUGAGCUUAACUUAGGAAUUGCAUUCGAUACUGGAAAGCUAGAGUAUGGGAGAGGAUGGUAGAAUUCCAGGUGUAGCGGUGAAAUGCGUAGAGAUCUGGAGGAAUACCGAUGGCGAAGGCAGCCAUCUGGCCUAAUACUGACGCUGAGGUACGAAAGCAUGGGGAGCAAACAGGAUUAGAUACCCUGGUAGUCCAUGCCGUAAACGAUGUCUACUAGCCGUUGGGGCCUUUGAGGCUUUAGUGGCGCAGCUAACGCGAUAAGUAGACCGCCUGGGGAGUACGGUCGCAAGACUAAAACUCAAAUGAAUUGACGGGGGCCCGCACAAGCGGUGGAGCAUGUGGUUUAAUUCGAUGCAACGCGAAGAACCUUACCUGGCCUUGACAUACUAAGAACUUUCCAGAGAUGGAUUGGUGCCUUCGGGAACUUAGAUACAGGUGCUGCAUGGCUGUCGUCAGCUCGUGUCGUGAGAUGUUGGGUUAAGUCCCGCAACGAGCGCAACCCUUUUCCUUAUUUGCCAGCGGGUUAUG
Molecule: ribosomal RNA, 558 nt
Filed under: Acinetobacter schindleri
Lineage: Bacteria; Pseudomonadati; Pseudomonadota; Gammaproteobacteria; Moraxellales; Moraxellaceae
Description: bacterial SSU rRNA
Rfam family: Bacterial small subunit ribosomal RNA
Source: RNAcentral